AUUGAACGCUGGCGGAAUGCUUUACACAUGCAAGUCGAACGGUAGAGGGGGCAACCCCUUGAGAGUGGCGAACGGGUGAGUAAUAUAUCGGAACGUGCCCAGUCGUGGGGGAUAACGUAGCGAAAGUUACGCUAAUACCGCAUACGAUCUAAGGAUGAAAGCGGGGGAUCGCAAGACCUCGCGCGAUUGGAGCGGCCGAUAUCAGAUUAGGUAGUUGGUGGGGUAAAGGCUCACCAAGCCAACGAUCUGUAGCUGGUCUGAGAGGACGACCAGCCACACUGGAACUGAGACACGGUCCAGACUCCUACGGGAGGCAGCAGUGGGGAAUUUUGGACAAUGGACGCAAGUCUGAUCCAGCCAUUCCGCGUGCAGGAUGAAGGCCCUCGGGUUGUAAACUGCUUUUGUACGGAACGAAAAGGUCUCGUCUUAAUACGAGGGGCUCAUGACGGUACCGUAAGAAUAAGCACCGGCUAACUACGUG
This 481-nucleotide ribosomal RNA is filed under the name uncultured bacterium. RNAcentral's name for it is "bacterial SSU rRNA". It matches the Rfam family "Bacterial small subunit ribosomal RNA", at positions 30 to 507 of the family's 1533-position model. The record is from RNAcentral.